GAUGAACGCUGGCGGCGUGCCUAAUACAUGCAAGUCGAGCGAACGGACGAGAAGCUUGCUUUUCUGAUGUUAGCGGCGGACGGGUGAGUAACACGUGGAUAACCUACCUAUAAGACUGGGAUAACUUCGGGAAACCGGAGCUAAUACCGGAUAAUAUUUUGAACCGCAUGGUUCAAAAGUGAAAGACGGUCUUGCUGUCACUUAUAGAUGGAUCCGCGCUGCAUUAGCUAGUUGGUAAGGUAACGGCUUACCAAGGCAACGAUGCAUAGCCGACCUGAGAGGGGGAGCGGCCCCCCGGGAACUGAGACCCGGUCCAAACCCCUACGGGAGGCAGCAGGAGGGAAUCUUCCGCAAUGGGCGAAAGCCUGAGGGAGCAACGCCGGGUGAGUGAUGAAGGUUUUCGGAUCGUAAACCUUUGUUAUUAGGGAAGUACAUAUGGGUAAGUAACUGGGCACAUCUUGACGGUACCUAAUCAAAAAGCCACGGCUAACUACGU
RNAcentral lists this ribosomal RNA (496 nucleotides) under uncultured bacterium. RNAcentral's name for it is "partial 16S ribosomal RNA". It matches the Rfam family "Bacterial small subunit ribosomal RNA", at positions 28 to 506 of the family's 1533-position model. The record is from RNAcentral.